GAUGAACGCUAGCGGCAGGCUUAACACAUGCAAGUCGAGGGGCAGCACGGGUAGCAAUACCUGGUGGCGACCGGCGGAAGGGUGCGUAACGCGUGAGCAACAUGCCCUAUACAGGGGAAUAAACCAGGGAAACUUGGUCUAAUGCCCCAUAGCAAUAAGAUAAGGCAUCUUAUUUUAUUUAAAGCUUCGGUGGUAUAGGAUUGGCUCGCGUGACAUUAGCUGGAUGGUGGGGUAACGGCCCACCAUGGCGAUGAUGUCUAGGGGUUCUGAGAGGAAGACCCCCCACACUGGGACUGAGACACGGCCCAGACUCCUACGGGAGGCAGCAGUGAGGAAUAUUGGACAAUGGAUGGAAAUCUGAUCCAGCCAUGCCGCGUGCAGGAAGACGGCCCUAUGGGUUGUAAACUGCUUUUCUACGGGAGCAAUAAGGUCUACGCGUAGACUGAUGAGAGUACCGUAGGAAUAAGCAUCGGCUAACUCCGUG
This 484-nucleotide ribosomal RNA is filed under the name uncultured bacterium. RNAcentral describes it as "bacterial SSU rRNA". It matches the Rfam family "Bacterial small subunit ribosomal RNA", at positions 28 to 507 of the family's 1533-position model. The record is from RNAcentral.